CAUUUAAAGAAAGCGUAAUAGCUCACUGGUCGAGUCGGCCUGCGCGGAAGAUGUAACGGGGCUAAACCAUGCACCGAAGCUGCGGCAGCGAACGUAUCACUUAAAGCGAUUCAGCGGGUUACGAUUGACGGAGCGAAGCGACGUCAAAGCGUAUACAAAGUCGAGUCGGUUUAAGGAUACGUUCGUUGGGUAGGGGAGCGUUCUGUAAGCCUGCGAAGGUGGCCUGUGAGGGUUGCUGGAGGUAUCAGAAGUGCGAAUGCUGACAUAAGUAACGAUAAAGCGGGUGAAAAGCCCGCUCGCCGGAAGACCAAGGGUUCCUGUCCAACGUUAAUCGGGGCAGGGUGAGUCGACCCCUAAGGCGAGGCCGAAAGGCGUAGUCGAUGGGAAACGGGUUAAUAUUCCCGUACUUGGUGUUACUGCGAAGGGGGGACGGAGAAGGCUAUGUUGGCCGGGCGACGGUUGUCCCGGUUUAAGCGUGUAGGUGUGUGUUCCAGGUAAAUCCGGUUCACUUUAACACUGAGGCGUGACGACGAGGCACUACGGUGCUGAAGCAACAAAUGCCCUGCUUCCAGGAAAAGCCUCUAAGCAUCAGGUAACAUCAAAUCGUACCCCAAACCGA
This 619-nucleotide ribosomal RNA is filed under the name Salmonella enterica subsp. enterica serovar Agona. Its description in RNAcentral is "partial 23S ribosomal RNA". It matches the Rfam family "Bacterial large subunit ribosomal RNA", at positions 1120 to 1657 of the family's 2925-position model. Lineage: Bacteria; Pseudomonadati; Pseudomonadota; Gammaproteobacteria; Enterobacterales; Enterobacteriaceae. The record is from RNAcentral.